This 765-nucleotide ribosomal RNA is filed under the name uncultured Streptococcus sp. Its description in RNAcentral is "bacterial SSU rRNA". It matches the Rfam family "Bacterial small subunit ribosomal RNA", at positions 28 to 776 of the family's 1533-position model. The record is from RNAcentral. Lineage: Bacteria; Bacillati; Bacillota; Bacilli; Lactobacillales; Streptococcaceae.
GACGAACGCUGGCGGCGUGCCUAAUACAUGCAAGUAGAACGCUGAAGAGAGGAGCUUGCUCUUCUUGAAUGAGUUGCGAACGGGUGAGUAACGCGUAGGUAACCUGCCUUGUAGCGGGGGAUAACUAUUGGAAACGAUAGCUAAUACCGCAUAACAAUGGGUGACACAUGUCAUUUAUUUGAAAGGGGCAAUUGCUCCACUACAAGAUGGACCUGCGUUGUAUUAGCUAGUAGGUGAGGUAACGGCUCACCUAGGCGACGAUACAUAGCCGACCUGAGAGGGUGAUCGGCCACACUGGGACUGAGACACGGCCCAGACCCCUACGGGAGGCAGCAGUAGGGAAUCUUCGGCAAUGGGGGCAACCCUGACCGAGCAACGCCGCGUGAGUGAAGAAGGUUUUCGGAUCGUAAAGCUCUGUUGUAAGUCAAGAACGAGUGUGAGAGUGGAAAGUUCACACUGUGACGGUAGCUUACCAGAAAGGGACGGCUAACUACGUGCCAGCAGCCGCGGUAAUACGUAGGUCCCGAGCGUUGUCCGGAUUUAUUGGGCGUAAAGCGAGCGCAGGCGGUUUGAUAAGUCUGAAGUUAAAGGCUGUGGCUCAACCAUAGUUCGCUUUGGAAACUGUCAAACUUGAGUGCAGAAGGGGAGAGUGGAAUUCCAUGUGUAGCGGUGAAAUGCGUAGAUAUAUGGAGGAACACCGGUGGCGAAAGCGGCUCUCUGGUCUGUAACUGACGCUGAGGCUCGAAAGCGUGGGGAGCGAACAGG